This 497-nucleotide ribosomal RNA is filed under the name uncultured bacterium. Its description in RNAcentral is "partial 16S ribosomal RNA". It matches the Rfam family "Bacterial small subunit ribosomal RNA", at positions 28 to 507 of the family's 1533-position model. The record is from RNAcentral.
GAUGAACGCUGGCGGCGUGCCUAAUACAUGCAAGUCGAGCGAACAGACGAAGAGCUUUCUCCUCUUACGUUAGCGGCGGACGGGUGAGUAACACGUGGAUAACAUACCUAUAAGACUGGGAUAACUUCGUGAAAACGGAGCUAAUACCGGCUAAUAUAUUGAACCGCAUAGUUCAAUAGUGAAAGACGGUUUUGCUGUCGCUUAUCGAUGGAUCCGCUCCGCAUUAGCUAGUGGGUAAGGUAACGGCUUACCAAGGCAACGAUGCGUAGCCGACCUGAGAGGAUGACCAGCCACACUGGAACUGAGACACGGUCCAGACUCCUACGGGAGGCAGCAGUGGGGAAUAUUGCGCAAUGGGCGAAAGCCUGAUGGAGCAAUGCCGCGUGUAUGAAGAAGGCCUUCGGAUUGUAAAGUACUUUCAGCAGGGAGGAAGGAAGUAGAGUGAAUACAUUUACGUAUUGACGGUACCUGAAGAAGAAGCCCCGGCUAACUACGUG